RNAcentral lists this transfer RNA (75 nucleotides) under Parcubacteria group bacterium ADurb.Bin159. Its description in RNAcentral is "tRNA-Gly". It matches the Rfam family "tRNA". From Rfam's summary of the family: Transfer RNA (tRNA) molecules are approximately 80 nucleotides in length. Their secondary structure includes four short double-helical elements and three loops (D, anti-codon, and T loops). The record is from RNAcentral.
GCGGGUGUAGUAUAACGGUUAUUAUAUAGCCUUGCCAAGGCUAAGAAGGCGGUUCGAUUCCGCUCACCCGCUCCA